CACUAGGGAGAUUCUCUCUCUCUCCAUGUGGUGCUGUGCUGCAAAGUCAGCUGUCCUCACUGCCUGAUUGUCAGAUGAGCACUGCUGUGACAAAGCCACUUGGAAAAAACAGCUUGGAUCCUUCUUUGAGCUCACUGAUGUCCCCCUGUGUCUGCAACGCCAACACCCUCGUGUCUCCAGAGACUGAGGCCCCCCUUGCCAGAGAUCUGCUGUCCAAACCAGCAUGCUGUGUUAUGCCAAUCCAGUGCCUUGUCAGCGUGGCAGACAGCUGCAGUUAGAAUACAAGGCUUUUGUGUUCCACCCACCCCCUCAUCUCUCAGGUUUUAUUCCACUUCUUUGAACAGUGGACACAUUCCUGCCAGUCUCAGUGUUUUAAUUUAAUUUGGGCACAGACUAUAUAAAAUUGAACAGAUGUCUGAAAGCAGUGAAGAGAAGACCAUAAAAUGAAGCACAUGCUCAGCUCCAUUUGAACCAAGCAAUGCUGUAAUUUUUUUUGUCCCCAUUGCCACAAAAGUCACACAUGACUUGGAGGUGUGUGACAAGAGGGUCGAACAUGGGAAGAAGAGGAAACUAGAAGGUGGCAGCCUUGGGGUGAUAACUGAAGUGAAACACAAGACUGUCAAGAAAUAAGCCAUUAAAAAACUUCAGGAAAAGAAUGCAAUAUGUGCUGCCAUUUUCUUUUACUUCUCUUUCUGCACCAGCUGUGGUAUUUUUUUGCAGAGAUCUAAAAGUGGAAAACAUUUUUGUUAAAAGCAGUGACAUCAAUGAAGUAAAUGAAGUGGAAUUAAACAUAAAGGUUUUCCAUCCUUUCAGUCAACUCACCUUUUCAAUCAAUAGAAACCACCAUGGCCAGCUGUUCUUUUUCAUGGCCUUGCUUUAUGUACCCAUUUGGAACAGCAACUAGCACAUUCUGUCAUCUCUCCUGCAAGGUGCAAGUACUUUUUCUAUGUUCCAUCCUGUGAAUGAGGUCAGAUCUUUCCUCACUUUGCUUGUUCCUCUCAUUUUAGAGGAGAAUAACUCCUGAGUGACUUUAAUGGGAGAAGUGGAAAACACAGAACCAAGUCCCAAAGCUGGUGUGGCCAGCAGCAAUUAAAGUGACUACAGGAAAGGAAAGGUCCAUCACAUAAUGUGAGAUUAAAAAAAACCCAGCUAAAACCAACAUUUAAGUGCUUUAGACUUUCAGGCUUGAGGCAGCUAAUGUUACAUGUCAGGCUAAGGUUCACACCCUCCUGUUUUUGGCUGUGAGAGUCUUCCUGGAUUUUUAUGAUUUUCUGGUUUUGGGCAGGAUAUGCAGACAGAAAGAUGGGACAAAUCCAGACGUGGUUCCUGUUGAGAGGUUCUUCCAUAUGGCCCACAAGUACAUGGCACAGGUGCAUACUGGCAUGGGGCUGAGAUGAAAUUUUGCUAAUUAAUAUGUAUAGAAAUACUUUCUUUUUCUAGCUACCUCUCAGUAUCAGGACAUUCCUUCCUGAACUCACUGAUGUCUUCAGAUAUAUGUAUGUAUUGUCUCACAGACUUUGAUAUGAAAAGUAUAACAUAUAAAAGUAUGCUGAAGAAUUUGACUUCUCCAUGUAUUACACUUGAAUAAGGCUUUACAAACAGGAUAAAACCCUACCUUGUUUUAAAAAAAAUAGCAGUUUUUCUCACCUUUUGAAAUAGCCUCUUCAUGGACAGUUGAUGAGUAGUACCUUUUUGGUUAAGACUUCUUUUAACUCUGUGUCACUCUGGUGGUAACCUCUCUCUGGUGACAUAGAGCUAAUUUGUGACUUCUGAUGUGAUGAAGAAAAAUAUAAGAAUCUCCAGCUAAACAGUGGGAAUAAAUAAUAACCAUUUUUUUUAGACAAUUUCCAUCCCAAAAAUGUGACUACCUCAGAGUAUGGGACUGAUUAAUAUUUGAUGGUGAAAUGUAAGUUGAAAAACCCCCAACACCACAAAAGCAGGUAAUGAUGAUGUAGCCUGCCCAAUUUACAUGCCUUUCAGCGCUUUUCCCUUGUCUGUUUAGGCAAUGAAAACUUUGCAGUCCAUAACAUAAAGAUUUGUAACCUUUUCUGAUUUAUACUGCAUGCUAUAACAUACUUCACUCCUUAUUCAACAUAGCAUUCAUUUUUAAAAUUCUGUGGAGUCGUUUCCUCAACAGUUUAUACCAGCAAAUUUCACAGCUUGCUCAUUACAAAUGGAAGCAAAAAAGAAAUCCUUUUUUGGGAAGAUAAUUAGUACUUCCAACAUUCUGAUUUAUUAAAUACUAGUAGCAUUAAAUAUUCUUUAAGUGAGGAGGCUGUACAGGAUAGUUUCCAAUUUACCAAUCAUGACAGAAACAUAGAGUCUCAUCACUGCAAGGGGCCUUGAGUUGUUUGAUUUAUUUCUCUGUCCAAAGGAAGAAGCAGCUGUACUGAGGUCAUUUCUGAUGAAUAUUUGUGCAAAGUGUACCUAAAGACCUCCAGUAAUGGAGACUCCAUAAUCUUCCCAGGCACUCUAUUCUGAUGCUUCAUUAUCCUCCUAGAAAUUUUUCCUGCUGUCUGCCCUGAACCUUCAAUUUGACAAUCAGCUUAAACUUAUACCUGCAGGCCAUGAUCUAAUCACUUUUUUCAUUAUAAAGUUCCAGUUAACUCACCUGCAGCCACAUAAUUGCUCUCGCUGACCUAAGGGAGGUGGUGGAAUCCUGUGCAUGGGAAAAGGAAAAGGGUGCAACUGCAAUUCACAUUUUCAGACUAUUAUUUCCUCCCCCAUCCAGCACAGAUAUCAAGAACAGCCCAUGAAGUUAUCAGUGCCUGUGACUACAGCCAACAGUGUGACAUUUGAAGCACAGGUGUCAUUAUGUACAUGCUAAGGCUUGAAAUACAAGCUUUUAAAAUAAUAAGAACGGAAGACCUCUGCUUUGAAAAAUUUGGUCUGGGAAAUAGUUACCAAGGCUGAAAUGAUGUUGCUCAUUCAGGUCUGGUGAGAAGGAUGUGGGAGUACAUCAGUGGAGAAAGACAUGGUCAUGAAAACUCAAGGCUGGAGAAUUUUCUCUAUGUCGGAUUGCAGAGUUACACCCCCCACAGCCUGAAGGAAUGAACUUCCAGGAGGAAAAAUGGUCCACAUCAGAACAGAGCCUUGUCGAGACCCUCCGCCAACAGGCACUCCACACUUCAUCAGGCAGUUUUUCUCAGGGAUUCUGAGAAAAUUCUCAGGGAUUCUGAGAAGAUUCAAACAGAACUUUGCUGUCUCUUAACACCUCUAGCUGCAGCUCUUUCCAUCAAGGCUACAAAAUGAAGAUCUGUGUAUUACUGCAGAAAUAUCCCACUGGAAAAAGGCUGCAUAAAUUCUGGCCACUGUGUAAAUCCCACACUGAAGACUCACUUGGGAAGAAGAAAAGACACAAAAUGUUGUGCUGGCUCUGUAAGUGAAGAAGCUUUUCAGGACUUUUCCUUGGUCUGUACAGAAAGUGCAUAGGAAUGGAGAUCAAUUUAAGCUGUGCUGUGCAAAGAGGGGAGAAAUCUGGUGAUGGUCCUACAAAUGUCACUGACAAGGAAAAGAGAAGGCUAAAGGCUCUGCUGGAGUGGCUCCAUUGACUCCCAUGGCUGUCGUGGGCUUCAAUUUACAAAACAGACAGAAGAAGAGAAAACCCUUCCUCCACCUCUCUCCCCUGCAAUUCUUGAAAGUGACAUCUGUGCAGUGCUGCAGGAAAGAUUACACAUCUUAGUCUUAUAUUUUUUUACCCUGCCACUCCCAAUUUACUCAUGCCCACUAUCAUAAUAUUAAUUUUGAGCAGGGAGGAGUAAGGAGUGCUCCCCUGGGCCAGCGUGGUUCUCCUGGCGGGGAGCAGGGGGCUGAGGUCGCUGUGGCUCCAAGGGCACCAGAUCCGCCUUUCCCACCCAGGACCCAGGGCAUCUGUCCUGGGAGUCUGCCCAGAGCAGCCCCUGCUCGUCCCCCAGCACCCUCUGUGGCACCGCUCUGUCUUGCCAGCACUCCUCCUUCCCACCCCCCGCCUCACCUCCCCCGGACCCACUUCCCUUCUCGAAAAAUCCAUCCAUUUAUUUCCAAUUACAAACCACACCACAUAACACAAACAUAAUUGCUUAAAAGUUGUUCCACAUUUGAUUCACAUGCAUUAUGCAUCCUGUAAAUUAUGUACGACCUCCUCUCUUUUUUUUCUUUUUUUUUUUUUUGAGAAGUAUUAUUGUAGUUCCUCUCUUGAUAUAAGGAUAGUUUUUACAGUUAGAAUCAAAACCUAAUUCAUUUACAAUACCUGUCUCCUGAGGAUCACAACAUAAUGACAUUGGAACAGUAAAAAGACUACACAGGGUUUUCACUUCAAUCACAGCUGUUCUAUAAAGAAAAGAAACUUACAGAAACCACCAAGAGAGAUGGUGAUUUAUAUCCAGUAGGAUACAAUAUAGCUGAAGAUGACUUUCUUGCUUAAACAAGGAGGGAAAAAAUGAACUCAUAUGUAUGAUGUAAAUAGACUUAACCAUGGGUGGCUGUGGUUUACUAUAAAUAUUCAAUUCAUUAUGGCUGCAGAGACGUACAGCUCCUACUGCGUGCUGGUGUUCUCGCCUGUAUCUGUCACUUGCUUCUGUUAGUCAUAAGCCAGAACCCUCUUUAUGGUGACCCCCCCCCCUUUUAUUUUUUUUUUUCCUAGUUGUCCAGGAAUCAACACAUUCAGGGAUUUUUUUUUUCCUUAAAGCUUUGGACCUCUUAAUGGUAAAGAUCUCAUUGAAGGAGGUUUUUCAGCAAUGGAAAAAAACCAUGGGCCUGUGAGUUUGGAUCCCGUGAUGCAUCGCUCCUUGAAGUUACAUCUGCUCUUCUCUUUCAUCUCUCCUCUUGUUAACUGGGAGCUGUCACAUUAGGAGUUUUGGUGGAAGUGGCAUAAAGCAAGGAAAGAGAGACUGAUACACUGUGUCAUGACAAAACAGGCAGAGUAAGAGUGCCUUUGCAGUCACCUAUCAUCCAUGGACUACGUGCUGCUGGCCCAAAGCAUCAGACUUAACACAGUGCUCCUGAAGCCAACUUAACAGAGGCUGCUCCACUGAAAGCUUUCUGAAAUCAUUCUUAAAUUACGAUGCAUAAUCACUUGAAAUUAAGUCAAUUCAAAUGGCUGCUGAAUUGUGGUAUGAGGUCAGGCCCGUGGUCACUCUCUUCUGACACCAGCAAGAUUUUUCCUUCCAGGUCUUUUUCAUGCCCAGUGACCCCACCUUUGUUGGCUCAAGUGCAAACAUCACAUCUGAAGAACAAUACC
Molecule: long non-coding RNA, 5218 nt
Organism: Melospiza melodia melodia
Lineage: Eukaryota; Metazoa; Chordata; Aves; Passeriformes; Passerellidae
Exons: 21
Source: RefSeq, a predicted model, not a curated record